This 381-nucleotide ribosomal RNA is filed under the name uncultured bacterium. RNAcentral describes it as "bacterial SSU rRNA". It matches the Rfam family "Bacterial small subunit ribosomal RNA", at positions 28 to 408 of the family's 1533-position model. The record is from RNAcentral.
GACGAACGCUGGCGGCGUGCUUAACACAUGCAAGUCGAGCGGUAAGGCCCUUUCGGGGGUACGACGAGCGGCGAACGGGUGAGUAACACGUGGGUGACCUGCCCUUAGCUCUGGGAUAAGCCUGGGAAACGUGGGUCUAAUACCGGAUAUGACUCCAUGACGCAUGUUGUGGGGUGGAAAGCCUUGUGCGGCUAGGGAUGGGCCCGCGGCCUAUCAGCUUGUUGGUGGGGUGAUGGCCACCAAGGCGACGACGGGUAGCCGGCCUGAGAGGGCGACCGGCCACACUGGGACUGAGACACGGCCCAGACUCCUACGGGAGGCAGCAGGUGGGGAAUCUUGCGCAAUGGGCGAAAGCCUGACGCAGCGACGCCGCGUGAGGGA